Polypterus senegalus (gray bichir) is the source of this 320-nucleotide long non-coding RNA. RefSeq lists it as uncharacterized. NCBI's taxonomy places the organism in Eukaryota, Metazoa, Chordata, Cladistia, Polypteriformes, Polypteridae. The record is from RefSeq and is a predicted model, not a curated record. The transcript has 3 exons.
UUUACAAGAGUAUCCUGUGUUGAAUGGCUCCCAGCAGCUUUUCAGUGAAACAUGGUACCAAUCGUUGGAUUUUCACUUCAUUUUACUGAUGAGCAGCCCCUACAAGGUCUGUGGUGAACAUUUUUGCUCUGCACUGGCUGAAUAAUUUGGAGGAUAUGCGGUUAAAAAUGCCAAGAAAUCAGAACAUCUCUUAAUCACCUAUGACCUUCAACAGAAUCCGCCUGCUAAUGACGACACUUCCACCUACCAAGAUCACUUCUCCUGAUGACAUCAUUUCCCACCACUUCCGGUCUCCAACAUAUAUAUCCACUAUCUUUACU